GAUGAAGAACGCAGCGAAAUGCGAUAAGUAAUGUGAAUUGCAGAAUCCAGUGAACCAUCGAAUCUUUGAACGCACAUUGCGCCCGUCAGUAUUCUGGCGGGCAUCCCUGUUCGAGCGUCAUUACGCCCCUCAAGUCCCCUGUGGACUUGGUGUUGGGGAUCGGCGAGGCUGGUUUUCCAGCACAGCCGUCCCUUAAAUUAAUUGGCGGUCUCGCCGUGGCCCUCCUCUGCGCAGUAGUAAAACACUCGCAACAGGAGCCCGGCGCGGUCCACUGCCGUAAAACCCCCCAACUUUUUAUAGUUGACCUCGAAUCAGGUAGGACUACCCGCUGAACUUAAGCAUAUCAAUAAGCGGAGGA
Molecule: unclassified non-coding RNA, 358 nt
Filed under: soil metagenome
Description: partial contains 5.8S ribosomal RNA, internal transcribed spacer 2, and large subunit ribosomal RNA
Rfam family: 5.8S ribosomal RNA (bases 1-120)
Source: RNAcentral